GAUGAAGAACGUAGUGAAAUGCGAUACUUGGUGUGAAUUGCAGAAUCCCGUGAACCAUCGAGUCUUUGAACGCAAGUUGCGCCUCAAGCCAUUAGGUUGAGGGCACGUCUGCCUGGGCGUCACAUAUCGUUGCCUGAUGCCAGUUUCCUCGUGAUGGGUGACUGUGCAGGGCGAAUGAUGGCUUCCCGUGAGCAUUGUUGCCUCAUGGUUGGUUGAAAAUUGAGUCCUUGGUAGGGAGCGCCGUGAUAGAUGGUGGUUGAGUGACGAACGAGACCCAAUCAUGUGAGACCCCUACCGAAUUUGGCCUUCAUGACCCACAUGCGUCUUUGGAACGCUCAUGACGAGACCUCAGGUCAGGUGGGGCUACCCGCUGAGUUUAAGCAUAUCAAUAAGCGGAGGA
This 400-nucleotide unclassified non-coding RNA is filed under the name soil metagenome. RNAcentral describes it as "partial contains 5.8S ribosomal RNA, internal transcribed spacer 2, and large subunit ribosomal RNA". The stretch from base 1 to 122 matches the Rfam family "5.8S ribosomal RNA", at positions 35 to 154 of the family's 154-position model. The record is from RNAcentral.